UCGGAUGUGAAAACUCGGGGCUCAACCUCGGAAGGUCACUCGAUACUGCUGUGAUUAGAGUCCGGUAGAGGAGUGUGAAUUUCUGGUGUAGGGGUGAAAUGCGCAAAUAUCAGGAGGAACACCGACGGCAAAGGCGGCACUUUGGGCCGGUACUGACGCUGAGGAGCCAAAGCGUGGGGAGCAAACAGGAUUAAAUACCCUGGUAGUCCAUGCCGUAAACCAUGGGACUUAGGUGUGGGGUCUUUCUACCCUUUUCCGUGCCGCAGCUAACGCAUUAAGUGCCCCGCCUGGGGAGUACGGCCGCAAGGCUAAAACUCAAAGGAAUUGACGG
RNAcentral lists this ribosomal RNA (331 nucleotides) under uncultured bacterium. RNAcentral describes it as "bacterial SSU rRNA". It matches the Rfam family "Bacterial small subunit ribosomal RNA", at positions 588 to 916 of the family's 1533-position model. The record is from RNAcentral.